This 2931-nucleotide ribosomal RNA is filed under the name Escherichia coli. RNAcentral's name for it is "23S ribosomal RNA". It matches the Rfam family "Bacterial large subunit ribosomal RNA". The record is from RNAcentral. Lineage: Bacteria; Pseudomonadati; Pseudomonadota; Gammaproteobacteria; Enterobacterales; Enterobacteriaceae.
GGGUUGUGAGGUUAAGCGACUAAGCGUACACGGUGGAUGCCCUGGCAGUCAGAGGCGAUGAAGGACGUGCUAAUCUGCGAUAAGCGUCGGUAAGGUGAUAUGAACCGUUAUAACCGGCGAUUUCCGAAUGGGGAAACCCAGUGUGAUUCGUCACACUAUCAUUAACUGAAUCCAUAGGUUAAUGAGGCGAACCGGGGGAACUGAAACAUCUAAGUACCCCGAGGAAAAGAAAUCAACCGAGAUUCCCCCAGUAGCGGCGAGCGAACGGGGAGGAGCCCAGAGCCUGAAUCAGUAUGUGUGUUAGUGGAAGCGUCUGGAAAGGCGCGCGAUACAGGGUGACAGCCCCGUACACAAAAAUGCACAUGCUGUGAGCUCGAUGAGUAGGGCGGGACACGUGGUAUCCUGUCUGAAUAUGGGGGGACCAUCCUCCAAGGCUAAAUACUCCUGACUGACCGAUAGUGAACCAGUACCGUGAGGGAAAGGCGAAAAGAACCCCGGCGAGGGGAGUGAAAAAGAACCUGAAACCGUGUACGUACAAGCAGUGGGAGCACGCUUAGGCGUGUGACUGCGUACCUUUUGUAUAAUGGGUCAGCGACUUAUAUUCUGUAGCAAGGUUAACCGAAUAGGGGAGCCGAAGGGAAACCGAGUCUUAACUGGGCGUUAAGUUGCAGGGUAUAGACCCGAAACCCGGUGAUCUAGCCAUGGGCAGGUUGAAGGUUGGGUAACACUAACUGGAGGACCGAACCGACUAAUGUUGAAAAAUUAGCGGAUGACUUGUGGCUGGGGGUGAAAGGCCAAUCAAACCGGGAGAUAGCUGGUUCUCCCCGAAAGCUAUUUAGGUAGCGCCUCGUGAAUUCAUCUCCGGGGGUAGAGCACUGUUUCGGCAAGGGGGUCAUCCCGACUUACCAACCCGAUGCAAACUGCGAAUACCGGAGAAUGUUAUCACGGGAGACACACGGCGGGUGCUAACGUCCGUCGUGAAGAGGGAAACAACCCAGACCGCCAGCUAAGGUCCCAAAGUCAUGGUUAAGUGGGAAACGAUGUGGGAAGGCCCAGACAGCCAGGAUGUUGGCUUAGAAGCAGCCAUCAUUUAAAGAAAGCGUAAUAGCUCACUGGUCGAGUCGGCCUGCGCGGAAGAUGUAACGGGGCUAAACCAUGCACCGAAGCUGCGGCAGCGACGCUUAUGCGUUGUUGGGUAGGGGAGCGUUCUGUAAGCCUGUGAAGGUGUGCUGUGAGGCAUGCUGGAGGUAUCAGAAGUGCGAAUGCUGACAUAAGUAACGAUAAAGCGGGUGAAAAGCCCGCUCGCCGGAAGACCAAGGGUUCCUGUCCAACGUUAAUCGGGGCAGGGUGAGUCGACCCCUAAGGCGAGGCCGAAAGGCGUAGUCGAUGGGAAACAGGUUAAUAUUCCUGUACUUGGUGUUACUGCGAAGGGGGGACGGAGAAGGCUAUGUUGGCCGGGCGACGGUUGUCCCGGUUUAAGCGUGUAGGCUGGUUUUCCAGGCAAAUCCGGAAAAUCAAGGCUGAGGCGUGAUGACGAGGCACUACGGUGCUGAAGCAACAAAUGCCCUGCUUCCAGGAAAAGCCUCUAAGCAUCAGGUAACAUCAAAUCGUACCCCAAACCGACACAGGUGGUCAGGUAGAGAAUACCAAGGCGCUUGAGAGAACUCGGGUGAAGGAACUAGGCAAAAUGGUGCCGUAACUUCGGGAGAAGGCACGCUGAUAUGUAGGUGAAGUCCCUCGCGGAUGGAGCUGAAAUCAGUCGAAGAUACCAGCUGGCUGCAACUGUUUAUUAAAAACACAGCACUGUGCAAACACGAAAGUGGACGUAUACGGUGUGACGCCUGCCCGGUGCCGGAAGGUUAAUUGAUGGGGUCAGCGCAAGCGAAGCUCUUGAUCGAAGCCCCGGUAAACGGCGGCCGUAACUAUAACGGUCCUAAGGUAGCGAAAUUCCUUGUCGGGUAAGUUCCGACCUGCACGAAUGGCGUAAUGAUGGCCAGGCUGUCUCCACCCGAGACUCAGUGAAAUUGAACUCGCUGUGAAGAUGCAGUGUACCCGCGGCAAGACGGAAAGACCCCGUGAACCUUUACUAUAGCUUGACACUGAACAUUGAGCCUUGAUGUGUAGGAUAGGUGGGAGGCUUUGAAGUGUGGACGCCAGUCUGCAUGGAGCCGACCUUGAAAUACCACCCUUUAAUGUUUGAUGUUCUAACGUUGACCCGUAAUCCGGGUUGCGGACAGUGUCUGGUGGGUAGUUUGACUGGGGCGGUCUCCUCCUAAAGAGUAACGGAGGAGCACGAAGGUUGGCUAAUCCUGGUCGGACAUCAGGAGGUUAGUGCAAUGGCAUAAGCCAGCUUGACUGCGAGCGUGACGGCGCGAGCAGGUGCGAAAGCAGGUCAUAGUGAUCCGGUGGUUCUGAAUGGAAGGGCCAUCGCUCAACGGAUAAAAGGUACUCCGGGGAUAACAGGCUGAUACCGCCCAAGAGUUCAUAUCGACGGCGGUGUUUGGCACCUCGAUGUCGGCUCAUCACAUCCUGGGGCUGAAGUAGGUCCCAAGGGUAUGGCUGUUCGCCAUUUAAAGUGGUACGCGAGCUGGGUUUAGAACGUCGUGAGACAGUUCGGUCCCUAUCUGCCGUGGGCGCUGGAGAACUGAGGGGGGCUGCUCCUAGUACGAGAGGACCGGAGUGGACGCAUCACUGGUGUUCGGGUUGUCAUGCCAAUGGCACUGCCCGGUAGCUAAAUGCGGAAGAGAUAAGUGCUGAAAGCAUCUAAGCACGAAACUUGCCCCGAGAUGAGUUCUCCCUGACCCUUUAAGGGUCCUGAAGGAACGUUGAAGACGACGACGUUGAUAGGCCGGGUGUGUAAGCGCAGCGAUGCGUUGAGCUAACCGGUACUAAUGAACCGUGAGGCUUAACCUUACAACGCCGAAGGUGUUU